This 236-nucleotide long non-coding RNA is filed under the name Musa acuminata (dwarf banana). RNAcentral describes it as "long non-coding RNA (MACU_LNC005690)". Lineage: Eukaryota; Viridiplantae; Streptophyta; Magnoliopsida; Zingiberales; Musaceae. The record is from RNAcentral.
AAGGUAGGAAAAGCACGAGACGAUAAGCCUCACCAAUUCGACGGUAACAUCCGAAUUGGAUAUGCGGGGUCCAUCGCCUUACGGUGAAGGUCGAGAGAGUGAGAGACCGGCAAGAGCUACCCGUUCUUUUUGUUCUUUAAUCGCUUUUGGCAAAUAAAACACGAUGGGUUGACCGAGUUGCUCCGCGAGGGUGACGUGUGGGGGGGGGGGGACCUACGCGGUGAUUUUGUCACGGG